Molecule: long non-coding RNA, 6638 nt
Organism: Dama dama (fallow deer)
Lineage: Eukaryota; Metazoa; Chordata; Mammalia; Artiodactyla; Cervidae
Exons: 6
Source: RefSeq, a predicted model, not a curated record
CGCGGCCUUUUGCGCAGGCGCUGAAUCAGCACGGGAUGUGUAGUUUCUUGAGUCCCGAAGGAGAUUCAACUCUGUUGUCGAUGAGCUACGAUUCCCGUCAGCCAGUUGCGAGGAGGAGCAGGGGAGCGGCCCGGAGCAAGCAACGCAUUCCAGGGGGUUUUCGACUGGGAGCAAGAGGACACACAGCCUAGCGACGCUAGCCCUCGAUCGCGCCCGCUUUCGACCCAGAGCAUCCUGGGAGUUGUAGUUCUAGCCUGGCGUGGAACCCCAAGUGCUUCCUGGAGCUUGGACGCACCUUUGGAAUGAUUUAUGGCAAAGUGAAAAAGGCUGUCCUUUCUGGGCUUAAGCUGAUAUUUCUCAGUUUGUUGAUUUACUUUAAUUGGAGGACAAUCACUUCACAACAAGGUGGUGCCCCUGCCACACAGGGAUCAGCCACAGGCGCACGGUUGCACCCCCGCCCCACCAUCCUGAUCUCACUGAGUUCUCUUUGCCAUGAGACACCAGGAACCUGAGCUUCAUUAGGUCCUGAAACCAGGUGUGUCAUCUCAGUUGGAAAGCUGUGGGUUUGAGUCCCAAGCAGGGUUUUGACUGGGUUCAAAUCCCAAUCUGAGGUGAAUGGUUUCACCUGUAUUUACUGAAUAUUUUGUGCUAAGUUCUGUAUGUGGAUCACUGCAUUUAAUGCUUGUGAGAACAUCCUAUUCCUAUGAGAAAAGGAUGAAUUAUGAGAACUAUGAAUUCAUUUACAUAUUUACAGUCUGUGUGCUCAGUUGUUCAGCUGUGUCCGACUCUUUGCAACCCCAUGGACCGUAGUCCACCAGGCUCCUCUGUCCAUGGAAUUUUCCAGGCAAGAAUACUGGAGCAGACUGCCGUUUCCUACUCCAGGGGGAUCUCCCCAACCCAGGGAUUGAACCCACAUCUCCUGCAUUAGCAGGUGGAUUCUUUACCACUGUGCAACCUGGGAAGCCUACAUAUCCACAGUAUGGUUUUCAAAAUAAAAGUAACAUUGAAAUAAUCUAGAAACUUUCUAUAGAGGUGUUAUCAGUUGUUCUGAUAAUACCCUGAAUAGCAAAAGAAAAUUCAAAAUCAUAAAUGUUGUGUUCUUAGACAUCUUAAUCCAGAAGAGUUGCUGAUUCUUUGUAAUUCAUGGCAUUACCAUCUUUGAAGAGUACAAGCCAUUUAUUUUGUAGAAAGUCCCUCAAUGUGGGUAUGUCUGAUGUUUCAUCAUAUUUUUAAAAUGCAGGUUACACAUUUUUGGCAGGAGGAUCAGGGAAGUGAUACAUGUUCUCCGUGUACAGUAGGAAGAGAUACGUUCUGCACGGUAGUUCCAUUACUGCCAACACUGACUUUGAUCUGAUUCUGAUCAUUUGGUUAAGAAGGAGUCAACCAAUUUUCUCAUGAAAUUUCUAGUUUGUGAAAGUGUGAAAGUGUGUGUUGCUCAGUGAUGUCCAACUCUUUUCAACCCCGUGGACUAUAGCCCACCACGCUCCACUGUCCAUGAAAUUCUCCAGGCAAAAAUACUGGAAUAGGUAGCCAUUCCCUUCUCCAGGGGAUCUUCCCAACCCAGGGGUCGAACCCAGAUCUCCUACAUCACAGGCAGAUUCUUUACCAUCUGAGCCACCAGGGAAGCCCUACUCUUUUAUACAUGAGCACCUAAAUUGUUGCCAGUGUUUUGUGAUCACAAACCAUGCCGCAAUGAGUAACCAGGUGCAUACAUAUUUUCAUAUUUGUUGGAGUGUAUAUCUUCAAGGUAGGCCUCCCAGGUGGGUCAGUGUAAAGAAUCUGCCUGUAAUGCAGUAGACUGGGAUUCGAUUCCUAGAUCUGGAGGAUCCCCUGGAGGAAGAAAUGGCAAUCCCUCCAGUGUUCAUUUUUUUUUUUAAAUCCUCCAGUAUCCUUGCCUGGAAAAUCCGAUGGGCAGAGGAGCCUACUGGGCUACAGGCUAUAGGGUCACAACGACAAUAUCUUCAAGGUAAAUUCCUAGAAGUUGGAUUGCUAGGGCAAAAGGUAAAGACAAACAUAGUUUUGUUAGUAAGGACUGAUCCCUCUCUGUAAGUGUUGUACCAGUUUGCAUUCCCACUGGCAGAAUAUGAGAGGGCCUGUUUCCCGCUGCUUCACCAACAGACUACCUUGCGGUGCUUUUCCAUUUUGGCUAACCUCAUAGGUCAGGAAUGUUACUACAGUGUAGCUCUUUUGUGUGUGGUAAAGUGCACAUGAAUGUAAAUUUUACCAUUUAAACUAAUUUCUGAAUGUACAAUUCCGUGGCAUUAAAUACAUUCAUGGUGUUGUGCGACCAUCACCACUAUCCAUUUCCAGAACUUUUUCAUCCCCCAAACUAAAACUCUGUACUCGUUAAACAGUAACUUCUUCCUACCCCCCAGCUUUUGGUAAACUCUACUCUAUUUUCUCUCUAUGAAUUUGUCUAUUCUGACUGAAACUGUCCACCCUGGCCAGGCACCACAGUUACCAUUGGCAUGAGUUAUUCUACAACAGGAGAUCCUAAUAAGGAACAUGAAACUAACAAGCCACCUCCAAACAAAAGAACUAGCAAAAGGUCAAAAGGAGACACCAGUCCACGUGUCCUCCCAGAAUCCUUCUUCCUGGAAUCCAGCUUGGCUGAGCGACGCGCUCGCCACCAAGAAGCACCCUGAGUCAGAAGGACUAACCCCAUCACCAUAAACCCCGAGACUGCAAACCUCGAGACCCCUGAGUUCUCUUCCCUUGCGGCUCUCUGCCCAGACACCCCUCCUCAGUAAAGUCUCUUGCUUUGCCAGCAUGUGUGUCUCCUCAGACAAUUCACUUCUGAGUGUUAGACAAGAGCCCACUGUCGGGCCCUAGAAGGGGACCCCUCCCUGCAUCAGUUCUAGGUUCCUCAUUGCUCGAUCGGCCCUCAAGACAGCCAUUCUCUGCUCUCUGUGCAUGCCUUCUCUGGCCAGCGCCUGCUUCACUUGCAUCUUAAGCAUGACUGACCUCGCCCCAGGCCCCAGCUACUGAUUGUUCUUAUGAAAGGGACACUAAGGAGUGUGCCUGGGAGCCAAGGCUGCCACUUUGUCCUGCCCACUGUCAACCCCACAUGGUGAGGUGGUUGCUCCAGGACCUUGCUCAGACAUGUAAGUGAAAAUUGCUCACUUGUGUCCAAUUCUUAGCACCUCCAUGGACUGUAUAGCCUGCCAGGCUCCCCAUCCAUGGACUUUUCCUGGAAAGAAUACUGAAGUGGGUAGUCAUUUCCUUCGCAAGGGGAUCUUCCCAACCCAGGGAUCAAACCCAGGUCUCCUGCAUUAAGAUUCUUUACUGUCUGAGCCACCAGGGAAGGCCUGCUCAGAUGUGUUAAGAUCCCCCUGUUCAUUAAACCAUUGAUGUCUCUGUUGCCAAUCCAGGCUGUUUCUGCAUUCUUAAAGCUGGGAAAGUGUAUUAGGCCCACUGUGCGCACCCCAGCACUCACAGGGUGGAGUCUAUCUGUCCUUUCACACCCAGCUUAUUGUACUAAGCUUAAUACAUAAUGUUUCUAAGGUUUAUGUUGUAGCAUGUGUCAGCAUUUCGUUCUUUUUUUUAUGAUAGUAAUAUCCCGUUGAAUAUAUAUAUACCACAUUUUGUUUACCCGUGCAUUCACUGAUGGACUUUUGAGUUGUUUCCACAUUGUGGCUAUUGGGAAUAGUGCUGCUGUGACCAUUAGUAUGCGGGUUACCGUGGGGACAAGUGUUUUCAUUUCUGGACUACAGACAGUCUCCUCUCCAGGCUCCCAGCCUCUGGGCUUCCCCUCCAAUCUUCCUGAAACCUCCUAAAAGAUUUUUUUUUUCUUUUAAAAUUGUAUUUAUUUAUUUAUUUUUGGCCUUGUUGGGUCUUGGUUGCUGCUCGGGUUUUUUUCUAGUUGCAGUGAGUGGGGGCUACUCACUAGUUGCGGUGCUCUGGCUUCUCAUUGCAGUGGCUUCUCUUGUUGUGGCUCCUGGGCUCUAGAGCACAGGCUCAGCAGUUUUGCCGCUUGGGCUCAGUUGCUCCACAGCUUAUGGGAUCUUCCCAGAUCAGGGAUCAAACCCGCGUCUCCUGCAAUGGUAGGCAGAUUCUUUACCCCUGAGCCACCAGGAAAGUCCCCAAAAAGAUUUCUUUCUUUUUCUUUGAAACGUAAUUUGUAUCCUACAGUGUAGUGUGUUGACUGGUGGCCCCCCCAAACUUCGUGUUCAUCUGGGAUCUCAGAAUGUGACUUUGUUUAGAGCAAGGGGCUUGGCAGAGGUCACCAGUGAAGGAUCUCCAGACGAAAUCACCAUGAGUUGAGAGAGGAGACAGAUGCACAGGAGAAAAGGCCUUAUGGAGAUGAAGGCAGAGAUAAGAGGGAUGCAAACACAAACCAAGGGAUGCCAGCAGCCAUCAGAUACUGGGAGAGGCUGGGAGAUGCCUCCCUCAGGGCCUCUGGAAGGGUGGGAGACUCUGCAAUGGUUCGAGUUAGGACUUCUGGCCUCCAGAUUGCAGGAGACAAAUUCCUGUUGUUUUGAGCCACAUCGUUUGUGGCAAUUUGUUAUGGCAGCCCUGGGAAGCUCACGCAUACAGGUAAGCCACAGACCAGGAUGCACUGUGCUCCCCAGCCCUUUCUUCUCUGGGUGGAUGCUCUCUGCAACUUGGGGGUUUCUAGAGCUUUUUCAAAGCACUACCUUUAUUUCUUAGCAGUUGAGGCUUCAUGAAAAUUCAAAUGAAGUAUGACACAUUUUUAAUCUUAAAAAAUGCUGAGGGAAAAAAAAACCCUAAACACUGAAAAUAAAAGACCAACCAAUCACAAUCCCAUCACUUAAAAAUUACAAAUGUAUUUCAUAAAAAUAUAAACCUUUUACAUAUUUUUUAUUUUAUAAAAGACCAAUCAAAAUCCUAUCACUUAAAAAUUAUAGCAUAUAACAAAAAUACAUUUAUAUUUUUAAAAUAAGCAUAUUUUAUAAAAUAUAAAUGUAUUUUAUAAAAAUAUACAUAUUUUAUAAAAAUGCAAACAUUCUUUAUAAAAAUGUAAACGUAUUUUACAAAAAAUAUAAAGUGGCACUCCCUCAGCUGGUACCCCACACGGCAGAGCCCUCAGAGCAUUGGUGGGAGCCACUCCCUGGAGAGGCCACAGAGCAUGAUGCCAGCUGAAGGUCAGAAGGAGACAUCCGUGCAUGCAUAGUAUUGGCACAAAUUCAUAAUAUAAAAAAAAUGGGAAAAACCUAAAUGCCCAUCUAUAGGAUAGAUAGAAGUAAUGGUGAAAAAACCUUGCAUUAAAAGAGCAACUCUGUUCUCCUGGUUGUCAAGGCACAUGCAUCAUGCAGGCUGUAUUUUCUGCCAACAUAGGAAAGUAGAUGACACGGGUGGUGGGUGGUGAAUGGUAAGAUAAGUGGCAUUUUGUAUGUGUCAGAGACUCGGGGCCUCCCCCUACAGCACCUGUCCCCAGGAAGCCUCAGGCUUCCUCCUGCUAGCUAGCCCUCCCCAGGACACAGCCCUCCCCAAGUCACUGCCCUCCCAAGACCAAUUGUCACCUCCUCCAGGAAGUCUCCCAGGACUGAAGGCUCCUGGCUGGGACCUCCCAGAGUAAACGUCUGCUGCCAAAACUAUUGGCUACAGCGACUCUGAUCAGUAGGAGCUGGAGGCUACUGAGUGGGUAGGGACUGGACUUGCAGCUGUGUUUACGCAGGAGCUCAGCCUCCUCUCCAAAGGGCUCCAAGUUACCGGGUCUUUGGCCCCAUUUUCUGAGCCUGUGGCCUACCGCUUCUCCAUGGCUCCUUUACCAGCUAUGUGGGAAGCUCGCCCAGAUGCUGGGCGCUCCCUCCCCCUCAUCUGCACACAUAGAGCCCUGAGUUGUCUCACAGCUGGUACCUUUAAAAGCUUUUGUUGCUUAGCAGGAGAAAGAGAACAAUGGAACAAACCAUUGCUUCCCAGUGGCGGUAGUGGUAAAGAACCCGCCUGCCAAUACAGGAGAUGUAAGAGACGCAGGUUUGAUCUCUGGGUUGAGAAAAUCCUCUGGAGAGGGGCACGACAAUCCACUCUAGUAUUCUUGCCUGGAGAAUCCCUUGGACAGAGGAGCCUGGCGGACUACGGCCCAUAGGGGUCGCAAAGAGUCGGCCACGACUUAUCAACUACGCAUGCGUGAUCUCAGAAACAUGUUUUCCGGGAAGCUAGUGCUUCUCUAAAAAGCCCUGGUGGUGCGGUGCGGUGCACAGGAGGGAGGAGAAAGCAAAUAGCACUCCCAAGUCCAUUUGCGGGUCUGGCCGAGUUAGAGCUGAGAGUCGGAGAGGAGAGAGCUCGGCUUCCUUCAAAAGGGGUGAACUCAUACCUUGAGAAGAUGACUGGCUUGAAAAGUGGGAUAAUCUUCGUCAUGGUAAAGGGUUCUGUGUCUGUGGGUUUCAUGGCCGUAGGGUCUGCGGUGUGGGCCGUUGGACUAGUAGCGGUCGCUGGGAUGGCCCUUUACGCCUGGAAGAGGAGCACUGAAACAUCAUGCCCUAAGAGGUCCUAGGUUGACCACAGGUAAAAAUGAACAAGAACCCUAAAAUGUAUUGAAAGGAAUCUUCUCCCAGCCCCCUGCAGACUGGAGGAUCCACCUUCCUGGGGUCAGGAAUCCUUUGAAGCAACAUUUUAUCUUUGGGGUUUGAACAAAAUCAACUUGUGGGCAUAAAAAUAAAUUUGUUGAACACACA